GCCGUGUCACACUGUACGGAAGAAUUCGGUGAAAAUUGUGCUCUUACGUCCUGUAGUUGAUCCGCAAUUCAACAGUGUGUGCGCCGGAAGGACCGUCGGUGCAGUCGAUGCCGCGGCACCUGUGACGCUAAAAGGAGCGUUUUCCGAGUACGCCUAGAAAGCUGGUAUAGGUAUGGCUGGACCUGGAGAAGUGUAAGCAGACCAUGCUAUGUUGCUGAUCUGCGCUGAUCUCCACAUCCAAGUUGGUCCCGCGACAGUUGGGCGCCAUUGUGCCUUGCUUCAUUGACAAGGUGAUAUAAUAUGGUGCCCUGCUCGCUCUCACCCAAGCAACCCACUCCAACGGUCUUCUCUCGGCAGACUGGAUGCAUAGAAAUACCGUUAGAAGGUCCAAUAAACAGUGC
This is a long non-coding RNA of Dermacentor albipictus, 401 nucleotides long. RefSeq lists it as uncharacterized. Lineage: Eukaryota; Metazoa; Arthropoda; Arachnida; Ixodida; Ixodidae. The record is from RefSeq and is a predicted model, not a curated record.